Molecule: ribosomal RNA, 608 nt
Filed under: uncultured bacterium
Lineage: Bacteria
Description: bacterial SSU rRNA
Rfam family: Bacterial small subunit ribosomal RNA
Source: RNAcentral
CACCGGCGGACGGGUGCGUAACACGUGGGAAUGUACCUUUUGGUUCGGAACAACGCAGGGAAACUUGCGCUAAUACCGAAUGUGCCCGGGGAAAGAUUUAUCGCCAAAGGAUCAGCCCGCGUCCGAUUAGCUAGUUGGUGAGGUAAAGGCUCACCAAGGCGACGAUCGGUAGCUGUUCUGAGAGGAAGAUCAGCCACACUGGGACUGAGACACGGCCCAGACUCCUACGGGAGGCAGCAGUUGGGAAUCUUGGACAAUGGGGGAAACCCUGAUCCAGCCAUGCCGCGUGAGUGAUGAAGGCCUUAGGGUUGUAAAACUCUUUCGGCGGGGACGAUAAUGACGGUACCCGCAGAAGAAGCUCCGGCUAACUUCGUGCCAGCAGCCGCGGUAAUACGAAGGGGGCUAGCGUUGUUCGGAAUUACUGGGCGUAAAGCGCGCGCAGGCGGCCAUCCAAGUCAGUGGUGAAAGCCCGGAGCUCAACUCCGGAACUGCCAUUGAAACUGUUUGGCUCGAGUACGGGAGAGGUGAGUGGAAUUCCCAGUGUAGAGGUGAAAUUCGUAGAUAUUGGGAAGAACACCGGUGGCGAAGGCGGCUCACUGGCCCGUUUC